CAUUCCUACAUCAAUGAGAACAAUUCUUAACCAAGUAGGAUUUACAUCUUUUGCAUUUAACACACAAAAUAUUUAUGCAUUGGACCAGGAAUAAUCACACACAAAAAGCUUUGAUGUGCUAAAGAUGUUUUUUUUCUUCUAAGUAAGAAUUUCAACUUUUAAAAAUAGACAAAAAGAAAUAAGAAAAAAAAUACAUAAAUUGCCAAUAGGCUUUUGAAUUUCUAUCCCGCAAUAAUCAAUUUACGCAUGUGGACAAAUCACAUAGUUUCUAUCACCUACAUUCAAAUUUAAUCACCGCACCCUGUGUGACUCCUGCAACCUGACAACUCAGCCUCCACAAUGCAAAAACUCUCUCUGGCCUCGAAUGGGACGCCUGCUGUCGACUCCUCCGAGGUGGCCAUGGCGAUGGCGUCGCCGCAAGAGGGCGAUGGCGAGGGAGGCUGCGAAGGAGGCUGCGAAGGGGGCGAUGGCGAUGGUGAAGGAGCCAGUGCCUGCUGUGGAAGACGUCGUCAGUUCAGCUCGAGCAGAAGCGGAUCCUGUGAAGUUGGGGUGGGCACCUGAUUCCCCGCAAUGUCGUAAGUGAUGAUCCCGGAGAAUGAAAGCGGCCGACACCGCCUGCCUCUCGAGAUGGUGCGCUGCCACAGAGCGCCGGGAUCUGCUUGCUCAAAAUAAUCCCUCACCUCGUCUGAUAAUAGUUCUUGAGAGGAGCAGCUGUCGUAGCUACUCCCCGAGGAACCGCUCGUCGUGCUCCUCGGCGUCCGUUCGCAGUCCUCCUCGGCUGCUGGACUCUUCAGCAUAUGACCUCGCACGGCGCACAUCCCCAUUGCUACCCGAUUCCGCCUUAGUCCCUCACUCACAGUCUCGACAAUGGAACGUGCCACCCAAAUCCUAAGCGAUUUCACUCAUUGAGUGUACAUCGCCUGUACCGACCCGGCAAGGAUGGCACACGGCAAAAAACAUACCAAGCUUGAUGUGUCAAGAGACUAUUUUGCUACCGACUGUGGUACCAGACGAGAGAGAAUUAGAGAGGACAACGACCCACCCGCACGCCGGUACUUGCAGACAGUGCAAGGGAAAGAACAGCUCACAUGGAUUCAUUGUUUUGCGGUCAGGUUUUCGCAGUACUGAGAGUGUUGUGAUUGCACUGAGACCCUCAGCACCGCCCUUAAGUUGUACCGAUCUUCACUGUUUCAGGUUCUCGCCCCAGAGCAAGUCCGAGAAUCUCUCAUAUGGCGGAAAUAAACGAAUGGUAUAUUUACUGUACAAAACUGUCCACUUUCGGCUAAAU
Molecule: long non-coding RNA, 1288 nt
Filed under: Physcomitrium patens
Lineage: Eukaryota; Viridiplantae; Streptophyta; Bryopsida; Funariales; Funariaceae
Description: long non-coding RNA (PPAT_LNC005586)
Source: RNAcentral